AUACGGAGGGUGCAAGCGUUAAUCGGAAUUACUGGGCGUAAAGCGCGCGUAGGCGGUUUGAUAAGUCGGAUGUGAAAUCCCCGGGCUCAACCUGGGAAUUGCAUUCGAUACUGUCAGGCUAGAGUGUGGCAGAGGGAAGUGGAAUUUCCGGUGUAGCGGUGAAAUGCGUAGAUAUCGGAAGGAACACCAGUGGCGAAGGCGGCUUCCUGGACCAACACUGACGCUGAGGUGCGAAAGCGUGGGGAGCAAACAGGAUUAGAAACCCCAGUAGUCC
This 274-nucleotide ribosomal RNA is filed under the name uncultured bacterium. Its description in RNAcentral is "partial 16S ribosomal RNA". It matches the Rfam family "Bacterial small subunit ribosomal RNA", at positions 523 to 796 of the family's 1533-position model. The record is from RNAcentral.